UUAGACGUACUUGUACUGAUUGAGAUUUUAACACGAAGUGAGUGGCGAACGGGUGAGUAACACGUGGGUAACCUGCCCAGAAGUAGGGGAUAACACCUGGAAACAGAUGCUAAUACCGUAUAACAGAGAAAACCGCAUGGUUUUCUUUUAAAAGAUGGCUCUGCUAUCACUUCUGGAUGGACCCGCGGCGUAUUAGCUAGUUGGUGAGGUAAAGGCUCACCAAGGCAGUGAUACGUAGCCGACCUGAGAGGGUAAUCGGCCACAUUGGGACUGAGACACGGCCCAGACUCCUACGGGAGGCAGCAGUAGGGAAUCUUCCACAAUGGACGCAAGUCUGAUGGAGCAACGCCGCGUGAGUGAAGAAGGGUUUCGGCUCGUAAAGCUCUGUUGUUAAAGAAGAACGUGGGUAAGAGUAACUGUUUACCCAGUGACGGUAUUUAACCAGAAAGCCACGGCUAACUACGUGCCAGCAGCCGCGGUAAUACGUAGGUGGCAAGCGUUAUCCGGAUUUAUUGGGCGUAAAGCGAGCGCAGGCGGUCUUUUAAGUCUAAUGUGAAAGCCUUCGGCUCAACCGAAGAAGUGCAUUGGAAACUGGGAGACUUGAGUGCAGAAGAGGACAGUGGAACUCCAUGUGUAGCGGUGAAAUGCGUAGAUAUAUGGAAGAACACCAGUGGCGAAGGCGGCUGUCUGGUCUGCAACUGACGCUGAGGCUCGAAAGCAUGGGUAGCGAACAGGAUUAGAUACCCUGGUAGUCCAUGCCGUAAACGAUGAUUACUAAGUGUUGGAGGGUUUCCGCCCUUCAGUGCUGCAGCUAACGCAUUAAGUAAUCCGCCUGGGGAGUACGACCGCAAGGUUGAAACUCAAAAGAAUUGACGGGGGCCCGCACAAGCGGUGGAGCAUGUGGUUUAAUUCGAAGCUACGCGAAGAACCUUACCAGGUCUUGACAUCUUCUGACAGUCUAAGAGAUUAGAGGUUCCCUUCGGGGACAGAAUGACAGGUGGUGCAUGGUUGUCGUCAGCUCGUGUCGUGAGAUGUUGGGUUAAGUCCCGCAACGAGCGCAACCCUUAUUACUAGUUGCCAGCAUUAAGUUGGGC
This 1094-nucleotide ribosomal RNA is filed under the name Pediococcus pentosaceus. RNAcentral's name for it is "bacterial SSU rRNA". It matches the Rfam family "Bacterial small subunit ribosomal RNA", at positions 58 to 1136 of the family's 1533-position model. The record is from RNAcentral. Lineage: Bacteria; Bacillati; Bacillota; Bacilli; Lactobacillales; Lactobacillaceae.